GGUGAACGCUGGCGGCGGGCCUAAUACAUGCAAGUCGAGCGGCCGGACGAGAAGCGUGCUUCUCUGAUGUUAGCGGCACGGGGGAGGAAGACGUGGAUAACCUACCUAUAAGACUGGGGUAACUUCGGGUAAGCGGAGCUAAUACCGGAUAAUAUUUGGAACAGCAUGGUUCAAAAGUGAUAGACGGUCUUGCUGCCACUGAUAGAUGGAUCCACGCUGCAUUAGCUAGUUGGUAAGGUAACGGCUUACCAAGGCAACGAUGCAUAGCCGACCUGAGAGGGUGAUCGGCCACACUGGAACUGAGGCACGGUCCAGACUCCUACGGGAGGCAGCAGUAGGGAAUCUUCCACAAUGGGCGAAAGCCUGACGCAGCCACGCCGCGUGAGUGAUGAAGGUCUUCGGAUCGUAAAACUCUGUUAUUAGGGAAGAACAUAUGUGUAUGUAACUCUGCACAUCCUGACGGUACCUAAUCAGAAAGCCACGGCUAACUUCGUG
Molecule: ribosomal RNA, 495 nt
Filed under: uncultured bacterium
Lineage: Bacteria
Description: partial 16S ribosomal RNA
Rfam family: Bacterial small subunit ribosomal RNA
Source: RNAcentral